GAUGAACGCUAGCGGCAGGCUUAAUACAUGCAAGUCGAGGGGCAACAGGGGUAGCAAUACCUGCUGGCGACCGGCAAACGGGUGCGGAACACGUACAGAACCUUCCUUUAAGCGGGGGAUAGCCCAUAGAAAUGUGGAUUAAUACCCCAUAGUAAUGUUUAAUGGCAUCAUUAGAUAUUUAAAGAUUUAUCACUUAAAGAUGGCUGUGCGGCUGAUUAGGUAGUUGGUUGAGGUAAUGGCUCACCAAGCCAGCGAUCAGUAACCGGUGUGAGAGCACGACCAGUCACACGGGCACUGAGACACGGGCCCGACUCCUACGGGAGGCAGCAGUAAGGAAUAUUGGUCAAUGGACGCAAGUCUGAACCAGCCAUGCCGCGUGAAGGAU
RNAcentral lists this ribosomal RNA (385 nucleotides) under uncultured bacterium. Its description in RNAcentral is "bacterial SSU rRNA". It matches the Rfam family "Bacterial small subunit ribosomal RNA", at positions 28 to 409 of the family's 1533-position model. The record is from RNAcentral.